GGUCCCAUCGUCUAGCCCGGUCUAGGACGCUAGGUUCUCAUCCUAGUAACUGGGGUUCAAAUCCCCAUGGGACUACCA
This 78-nucleotide transfer RNA is filed under the name Candidatus Kerfeldbacteria bacterium RIFCSPLOWO2_01_FULL_48_11. RNAcentral describes it as "tRNA-Glu". It matches the Rfam family "tRNA". Rfam says of the family: Transfer RNA (tRNA) molecules are approximately 80 nucleotides in length. The record is from RNAcentral. RNAcentral also lists the same sequence under 2 other names. Lineage: Bacteria; Candidatus Kerfeldiibacteriota.